RNAcentral lists this long non-coding RNA (742 nucleotides) under Homo sapiens (human). RNAcentral describes it as "PREDICTED lncRNA (TCONS_00201173)". Lineage: Eukaryota; Metazoa; Chordata; Mammalia; Primates; Hominidae. The record is from RNAcentral.
ACAUCUUCCAUUUCCUUUGAAGAAAGAAUUUUCUCCAUCACAAAAGAGAAAAUGCACUACAAUUAUCUGAGAUAAUGGGAAAAGCUGAAAUGUGGCUCAUUCGAAACUACUGGUAUUUGGAAUUUCCUCGCCCACUCUUACCUAAUUUUGAAUUUGUUGUAAGACUCUACUGCAAACCUGUCAACCCCCUGCCUAAGCGUCGGAACUGUGAGAUGCCUACUUCAAGCUGGCUCCUUGACUCUUCCACACACUUCGAUUGACCCUCGGGAACUGAGUACAGUGAAAGCUCAUCAACCUUCAUGGGAUUUUGAGGAGGUGGAAAUACAGUUUUCCCAGCACCAUUUAUUGGAGACUAUACUUUCCCCUUUGCGUCCACUUGGUGCCUUGGUCGAAAUUUAGUUGACCAUGUAUGUUUGCAUUUAUUUCUUUGCUCUCUAUUCUCUUCCAUUAGUCCAUGUUUCUGUUUUUUACCAGUGUAAUUCUGUUUAUUAUACCUUCGUAACAUAACUUUAAAUCAGGAAGUAUGAUGCCCCCAACUUUAUCUUUCUCAGUAUUUCUUUAGCUCUUCAGUUUGUGCGUGUGUGUCUGUCUGUGUAUGUGUGGUUCCAUAGAAAUUUUAGAAUUUUUGUUUCUAUUUCUGUAAAAAAUGCCAUUAAACUUUCGGUACAGAUAGUGUUGAAUCCAUGUAUUGCACUGUGUAGUAUGGACAUUUAAAAAAUAUUAAUCCCAUGAAUAAAUAAGA